Molecule: transfer RNA, 64 nt
Filed under: Homalogonia obtusa
Lineage: Eukaryota; Metazoa; Arthropoda; Insecta; Hemiptera; Pentatomidae
Description: tRNA-Cys
Rfam family: tRNA
About the family: Transfer RNA (tRNA) molecules are approximately 80 nucleotides in length.
Source: RNAcentral
GGCUUUAUAGUCAAAAUUAUGAUAUUAGACUGCAAUUCUAAAGUUGGCGUUAUUCCUAAAGCUU